CAGCAACAGGAGGAGGAUCUGAAAGUGCAAUUAUACAGAGUUCAAGUAUCAUUUCAUAACCAAAUUUAAAAAAAAAAAAAAAAAAAAACAAGAAAAAAAAUUAACAAUAAAAAUGUAUUUUCAGAUGCAUUUUAUCUUUUUUUUUUUUUUUGGAUAGUUUAGUAACAGCCAAAAAGUAAUGGUUGGAAACUUUAAAAAGUUUUAUAUUAUGUUAGUAGAAAUCUUAUGUAAGAUUUGACCUCUACAUACUUUGUUUAUUAUAUAGAUCUUUUUUUCUAGUGCAAAUUUUCGUUGUGAAUAUGGAGAAGGGAAAGGAAAAGAAAUGAAUUUUGUAUGGAGUAUCUAGAAAGGGCCGUUUGGUUGAUCGAAUAAGGAUAAAUAGAAUAUAUGUAAUCAAAUAUAAUAUAAAUUUAAUUUCAAGCGUAAUUUUGAAUAUUUCACCUUGUCCUUCUCACCUCUGGAGUGACAUAAAUCAGUUCAAGGAUUAUAAUCCAGUGAAAGAAAUUAAACGACCACCAAGUACAGGGGCGGAUUUAGUGGGGUUCAGGAAUGGCAUGACAUCUAUAAACUUCGAUCGGAAAAUUAUGUGUAUAUAUAUAUUUUGAAGAAAAUUGAUAUAUUAUUUAAGUGUCACCCGGUGCAGCAGUUGACGAAGUAGUGUCAGUGGCAAACGCGCUGAAAUUUCACGUAGUAUACCAGAGUUCAAAUCUAAACGCCAGCAGUAUUUUGUUACUUUUUAUUCUCUAUUUUAUCUUCUAUAAGUUUUUUUCCUCUUGACUUAAUCUUUGUUUGACUUCUUUUUUUGGGUAAUCUUUAUUUAAGAAUUUAUAACUUUAAGUGUAGAACAUAAUAAUUUCUUAAUAAUAGAAUUGAAAAUAUCCAUUGAAUGUUGACAGCUAUUUUGUACUUUUACGCUGAUUGAUAAGUAAAAUUUAACUCUUGUUUACACAAUUUAUAGUAAUAACAACAACAACAACAAAUCCAGUGUAUACACACAUAGUGGGGUCUGGAGAGGGUAAAAUGUAUGUAGUCCAUACACUACCUCCGAAGAAGUAGAAAGGUUAUUUUCGAUAGUAUUUAUAGUACUAAUCACAUUUUUAUUAUUUGAUCUAUUUGUCUAUACAAAUUGAAAAGACAAAAAAUCAAAUCGAAACCCAAAGUUUAUAAUAUCGACAAAAUUUUUGUCUUAUUUAGGGCAGUGUAAAUAGCAAAACGUAUAGCAAAAAAAUUAACUAAUUUCCAACUGAAUUCGUAAAAGUUAGGUUCUUCGACAAUGUUUCAAUGAAAUUUUCCUUCAAAAAUCUCUUACUAACAAGUCAAAUUUCAGUGGGACACCCAUAAAAAUUAUCAUUUUUGAGUAAUAGCUUUAACGUUAAAAGUGAAAUGGCACCCACAACCUCGAAAUCCUAGAUCCGCCUCUGACCAAGUAUAUAUCUUCCUCUAAUUAAACAUCCAAAAUUUUAGUCUUUAGGCAAUGUUUAACUAUCUAGUUUAUAUAAAUACAUGUUUACGCCAUCCAUGCCAGACCCCACUCGCAGGAACAAAAUUUCACGACCACAAACAUAAGUUUAGCCACAUAAAAGGAAAACGUCAAUCAGAAGGAAAAGUUCUACUACUAUAUAAAGAAAGAAAGAAAGAAAGAGGACUAAUUUUAUAAGAUCAUGGUUUCGAGGGGAAGAAAAAAAUAAAGUUGAUUUUUGUAGUUGAUGAGGUGCUUGUGCUAUAAUUGGCCUGACCCGACCCGACCCGGCAAGAGAUGUAGCCCUAGCAAGUAAGCAUUUCCUUUUCCAACAACACUCAAAUGUUAUUGACUUUUACAAUGGCUUUGCUAUUAUCAGUACUUUUAGUCAAACUGUUGAUUGUGGAACCCCUCCACAAGAGAAUCAAUUCUACUUCCUCAAUCAGAAUUUCCACUGAAGCGUGGUUAUUGUUUGGGAUAAUGGUUAUGACUCAACUAUUGGUGACUAUAAGAUCCUAAAAAUUCACAAUCCCAAAGAGGGAAGCAAAGUACCUGGUGAGAUUCUCACGUUGAAAAGUGGUUUGUGGAGAAAUAUGGACGAAGUUUUUUGUCCGGGAAUUCUGCUUUGCCAUUAGUAAACAGUGCAUUUCACUGGAUCUGUAUGUCUGGAGACUAUUUCGCGGUUUCAAGAACUCUCUUUGGUUUCAUUUAGUAUUUCAAAUCAAGUGUACUCAGAGAUACCGUUGCCAGAGCAAGUAUUAAUUACGUAUAGAGGGCAAUGUUGAUGUUGGCAUUUCUGAAUUGAACGGAAUGCUUUGUGCUUGUUGUACGUAUAUUCAUCAGCGGUGGCACAAUUUUAAGUACCGAAAUAUUUGUUUGCGGACGGUGAUGUGCUAUUCCGGUCCAUAUAUUUGCGAGAUAAACUGGCAAAUUCAUUUAGGACAUCCUGGAAUGGACAUGUUCUUACGGAAAGCUUGAUAUUUCCAAAAUCACUUAUUUAGUGUUGAUCUAGGAACUCUUUUCUUUUUCCAGUCACCAUGUUGUAACCUUGUACUCUUGUUAGUUUAUCAACCAGAGUGAUUUUAUUAAUAAGAAUGGUUAAACCCAUCUUCUCUUUUACUUAUAUUAGUGUUUUUCCAGCAUAUUGUUAAUCCUUAUGAAUAUUGCGUUAACUGAACUUGUUGAGGCUGUUCAGCUCUAAGUCUUUAACAUGGCAUAUGAGGAGGUUUCUUUGUUUUGUCAGAAAUAAAAUGAUUU
This 2716-nucleotide long non-coding RNA is filed under the name Capsicum annuum. RNAcentral describes it as "long non-coding RNA (CANN_LNC009090)". The record is from RNAcentral. Lineage: Eukaryota; Viridiplantae; Streptophyta; Magnoliopsida; Solanales; Solanaceae.